AGAAGUGAACCUAGGAUCUCUGUCAGACACAAUUGAUACUGGCACUCCAUGCAGUUUUACAAUCUCAUAUAUGUACAAUCUGGCCAAUCUUUCUAGGCUAUAGUCCAUUCGAACUGGCAAAAAGUGAGCAGACUUGGUUAGUCUGUCAACUAUAAGCCAUACUGCAUCAUGACUAUUCUGUGUCUUCAGAAGUCUCAUCACAAAAUCCAUAGUUAUCUGUUCCCUUACAAUGUUUCAUAGGGUGCCACUUGUAUGCUAGCUUGACACUUAUUAAUGUAUACAAAUUCUGUUAGUGGGAUGUAUCUGUCCCAUCUCCUCUCGGAUUCAAUGACACAAGUUCUCGAUAUAUUCUUGAGGGCUUAUCACAUUUUACAGGUUAUUUUUAUCAUUUCAUUUCAUUAUUUAUAGGAACUCAAUGAGUUUCCGAAUUUACCUGAAUUACUUGUUUCAAUUGUCCAUCUGUCUGAGGAUGAUACGUUGUACUGAUAUCUCUAAGCUUAUAGCAAUUAUUGUGGUACAGGUAAUUCACAUUAAUAUAACUGAGUCACUGACUCUAGCUACCUUACAAGUGUAGUCGUUUGAUAGGCUAGUUCUGAAGUCUUAAAUUUCUGACUAAAAUUUUCAUAUUUAUUUCCAGUACUAGUACUCUAUUCGGGUGUAACUGUAUCAAUUUAUAGAUUACUUACAAAUAUUCUUAAUUUAUUGUACCACGAGGAAGCACGUAGCUCUACAAUAAUCUCGUGUCGG
This 747-nucleotide unclassified non-coding RNA is filed under the name Hevea brasiliensis (rubber tree). Lineage: Eukaryota; Viridiplantae; Streptophyta; Magnoliopsida; Malpighiales; Euphorbiaceae. The record is from RNAcentral.